CCCUUAGAUGUUCUGGGCCGCACGCGUGCUACACUGAGUAAUUCAAUGGGUAAGGGAACGCUAGAGCAUUACCUAAUCUUGAAAUUUGCUCGUGAUGGGGAUCGACGGUUGCAAUUUUCCGUCGUGAACGAGGAAUACCUUGUAGGCGCAUGUCAUCAUCAUGCGCCGAAUACGUCCCUGCCCUUUGUACACACCGCCCGACGCUCCUACCGAUUGAGUGAUCCGGUGAGGCUCUGGGACCUGGACGGAAAGAGCGUUUCGCUUGUUCUGUUUGGGAAACUUGGUCGAACCUUAUCAUUUAGAGGAAGGAGAAGUCGUAACA
RNAcentral lists this ribosomal RNA (322 nucleotides) under uncultured eukaryote. RNAcentral describes it as "partial 18S ribosomal RNA". It matches the Rfam family "Eukaryotic small subunit ribosomal RNA", at positions 1470 to 1796 of the family's 1831-position model. The record is from RNAcentral.